AACGCACCUUGCGCUCCUUGGUAUUCCGAGGAGCAUGCCUGUUUGAGUGUCAGUAAAUUCUCAACCCCUCCAGUUUUUGUUGCUGGGUAUGGGGCUUGGAUCUGGAGGGUGUUUGCCGGCCUUCAAAGGUCGACUCCUCUGAAAUGCAUUAGCGGAACUGUUUGCAAUCCAUCACAGGUGUGAUAAUUAUCUAUGCCAGUGGACUGCUUUCUGUUGUUCAGCUAACAACCGUCCGGAAGGACAAUCAUGAAUAUUUGACCUCAAAUCAGGUAGGACUACCCGCUGAACUUAA
This 292-nucleotide unclassified non-coding RNA is filed under the name uncultured fungus. RNAcentral describes it as "sequence contains ITS2". The stretch from base 1 to 52 matches the Rfam family "5.8S ribosomal RNA", at positions 103 to 154 of the family's 154-position model. Lineage: Eukaryota; Fungi. The record is from RNAcentral.